CAGCAGCAAAAGCAGAAGCGAUAUCAAGAAAUUAUGCUGUGAAAAGAGAAGAUGAUCCAUUGCAGGCUCAUGUGAGGCUUAUAGGUGAGAGAAGUGUGCUUGAAAUUUGGAAAUUUGGCUUCUCACCCCCUACAAGGAGAAAAUUCUGGUCCUCAUAGGAGAAUACAGGGAUGCACAAACAUCUAUGUCCUGAACUGAGUACAGCUUGGAUCUCUACCACCUCCAUAAUGAAAUCCAGAGCUCCCACAGGCCUCUGAAGACAAAAGUACCAAGGCAGAGGAAGAAUAAGCAG
Long non-coding RNA from Stegostoma tigrinum, 292 nucleotides. RefSeq lists it as uncharacterized. The record is from RefSeq and is a predicted model, not a curated record. The transcript has 3 exons. NCBI's taxonomy places the organism in Eukaryota, Metazoa, Chordata, Chondrichthyes, Orectolobiformes, Stegostomatidae.